Long non-coding RNA from Corapipo altera (White-ruffed manakin), 398 nucleotides. RefSeq lists it as uncharacterized. The transcript is spliced from 3 exons. The record is from RefSeq and is a predicted model, not a curated record. NCBI's taxonomy places the organism in Eukaryota, Metazoa, Chordata, Aves, Passeriformes, Pipridae.
UGGUGGGAGCAAAGGGGAAGGAAUAAAACAUUGCAGCUCUUCAGCUCUGGAGGCUCAAAGAGAGCAGGAACCUCCUGGCUGGAGAAAACAGCACCACAGAGUUAUCCAGGCUGAGCCCCCCCAGCUCCCUCAGCUGCUCCUGCUGCUCCAGCCCCUUCCCAGGACAUCACCCCGUGCUCUCAGCAGCUUCCCAGCCAGAGGUCCCACAGCAGGUCUGGGGGCUCAAGCACAGCGAUUUUAGCCCCGAGGUGGGAGCAGAGCCCCUCGGGGGGGAGCACAGGGCUCUGGGGGCAGGUCAAGGGGUGCCCCCUCUGCGUGGCACCAGCCCUGGCAGCGCCCUGAGAGCUCCCGACACGGCUCUGAGCCGGGUGCCAAAGGAACAGCCCGACACUUCCCGG